This 496-nucleotide ribosomal RNA is filed under the name uncultured bacterium. RNAcentral describes it as "partial 16S ribosomal RNA". It matches the Rfam family "Bacterial small subunit ribosomal RNA", at positions 30 to 523 of the family's 1533-position model. The record is from RNAcentral.
AUUGAACGCUGGCGGAAUGCUUUACACAUGCAUGUCGAACGGUAGAGGGGGCAACCCCUCGAGAGUGGCGAACGGGUGAGUAAUAUAUCGGAACGUGCCCAGUCGUGGGGGAUAACGUAGCGAAAGUUACGCUAAUACCGCAUACGAUCUAAGGAUGAAAGCGGGGGAUCGCAAGACCUCGCGCGAUUGGAGCGGCCGAUAUCAGAUUAGGUAGUUGGUGGGGUAAAGGCUCACCAAGCCAACGAUCUGUAGCUGGUCUGAGAGGACGACCAGCCACACUGGAACUGAGACACGGUCCAGACUCCUACGGGAGGCAGCAGUGGGGAAUUUUGGACAAUGGACGCAAGUCUGAUCCAGCCAUUCCGCGUGCAGGAUGAAGGCCCUCGGGUUGUAAACUGCUUUUGUACGGAACGAAAAGGUCUCUCUUAAUACGGGGGACUCAUGACGGUACCGUAAGAAUAAGCACCGGCUAACUACGUGCCAGCCGCCGCGAUAA